This 982-nucleotide ribosomal RNA is filed under the name human oral metagenome. Its description in RNAcentral is "bacterial LSU rRNA". It matches the Rfam family "Bacterial large subunit ribosomal RNA", at positions 1945 to 2925 of the family's 2925-position model. The record is from RNAcentral.
ACGGUCCUAAGGUAGCGAAAUUCCUUGUCGGGUAAGUUCCGACCUGCACGAAUGGCAUAAUGAUGGCCAGGCUGUCUCCACCCGAGACUCAGUGAAAUUGAAAUCGCCGUGAAGAUGCGGUGUACCCGCGGCUAGACGGAAAGACCCCGUGAACCUUUACUAUAGCUUGACACUGAACAUUGAAUUUUGAUGUGUAGGAUAGGUGGGAGACUUAGAAGUAGUCACGCCAGUGAUUAUGGAGUCGUCCUUGAAAUACCACCCUUUAACGUUUGAUGUUCUAACGAAGAUUACGAAACGUGGUCUCGGACAGUGUCUGGUGGGUAGUUUGACUGGGGCGGUCUCCUCCCAAAGAGUAACGGAGGAGCACGAAGGUUUGCUAAUGACGGUCGGACAUCGUCAGGUUAGUGCAAUGGUAUAAGCAAGCUUAACUGCGAGACAGACAAGUCGAGCAGGUACGAAAGUAGGUCAUAGUGAUCCGGUGGUUCUGAAUGGAAGGGCCAUCGCUCAACGGAUAAAAGGUACUCCGGGGAUAACAGGCUGAUACCGCCCAAGAGUUCAUAUCGACGGCGGUGUUUGGCACCUCGAUGUCGGCUCAUCACAUCCUGGGGCUGAAGUAGGUCCCAAGGGUAUGGCUGUUCGCCAUUUAAAGUGGUACGCGAGCUGGGUUUAGAACGUCGUGAGACAGUUCGGUCCCUAUCUGCCGUGGGCGUUGGAGAAUUGAUUGGGGCUGCUCCUAGUACGAGAGGACCGGAGUGGACGCACCACUGGUGUUCCGGUUGUGUCGCCAGACGCAUUGCCGGGUAGCUAAGUGCGGAAGAGAUAAGUGCUGAAAGCAUCUAAGCACGAAACUUGCCAAGAGAUGAGUUCUCCCUGUCUUUAAGACAGUAAGGGUUGUUUAAGACUAAGACGUAGAUAGGUCUGGUGUGUAAGCGGUGCGAGCCGUUGAGCUAACAGAUACUAAUUGCCCGAGAGGCUUAACUAU